Long non-coding RNA from Anas platyrhynchos (mallard), 1403 nucleotides. RefSeq lists it as uncharacterized. Lineage: Eukaryota; Metazoa; Chordata; Aves; Anseriformes; Anatidae. The record is from RefSeq and is a predicted model, not a curated record.
AAAGACCUUGACUAAGAAAUAGAUAAAAACAAAAUUUACUCUCUAAGUCACCUCACGAGAUUUUUCUGUGUUGCUUAAUCUGUUUUUUUCCUGAGAUAGUAAUACUUUGAUUUCUCAAAGUAACAAUUAUCCACAUCCAUUGAGUCUACCAGACAGCCAGAAGGUUGUCGUGAUCCGUGGGAGAAGGGGAGUGAGCAAGUCAUGAGGGAGGAGAAGUGCUUUUGGGCGUUCCCUGGCACCACCUCCGCCAGGGCUGCCUCUGAGGAAAGCAGAAGUCUAUUUAAAUGCAUAAUGCUGCAAGAUCUUUCCACUGGUGCUACCAGCAGGGCUUCUCAGCUGUCUGUAGGCAGUUACCGACCCCUUGAGUAGCCAUAUGUCUUGAGUGCAAUAACAGAAAAUUCAUCAGCAGGUUUCUGUUAGCCUUAUUGUCUUGUGGAAAAGACAGAACAACUUGAAAAACAGAUCUCAAAUAUUAAUGUUUAAUAUUUGUGAAUAUCUGUGCUAGUCUAAAGGCUCCCAAACAUUGCUUAUGAAUACGUUCUGAAUUUUACAGAAAAGAUUACAAUUAACACCAUCAUCUCUACAUACCCUCACUAGCUACUUACUUGUCAUUACUGUUAUUAGCCAUUUAUUCAUGUGUUGUACAUCAGACUGUGCACUCCAGCAUAGCAUUGUGAACAGUUACAAAAAGCUUAUGUCCCUAAAGCCAAAGCCUCUUUAUGUGCAUUUCUCUGUAUAUAUACACAGCACAUGACAUGAUACGUUGAUAAAUGUUAUUAUAUGUAACAGGAAUGAACGAUAACUUGGAGUCUGCUGAACAGCCCCAAUUGUUCCUGACAGCGUGUUGUCUGCAACAUUAAUUCGCCUUGACAGUGCAAUAUGAAAAUAUAGUAAAGUCCAGAAGUUUCUUUGUGACAUUUUGAUGGGCUUUAUGUCUUUAAUUGUUUGCUCUUUGAUACUCCUGCUAUGUGAUUUGUCCCUUCAAUCACAUGGCAUUGUGUUUGCUCAGUUAUUAGGCAGUCAAAAUUCUUACAAGAAAAUAACUGUUGAGGAAUAAUUAAUGAGGAAUAACAUAUAAUGCAUCAUUGAUAUGGAAAUUAAUCAAGUUAUGUGGAAAUUCACAAGCCCUUCGGCAGUCAUCAACAUUUUUUAUAAGUAAAAUGGUAGCUGUCCAAGUAUUUACAAACAAAUAACAUGCUCUACCACUAUCAUAGAGUUAACUGAUAAGAUGUAUUUGCUAAAGUGUCAACAAAUUACAGUUUGUGCUGUUCGAUCAGCUCUAAUUAAUUCUAUAUGUUCCUCAAGGGGGAUUCAGUUCAAAUGAGCUGAUUAUUAGCAGUGAUGAGAGCUGGGUGGUUAAAAUCCUAUCCUUUUUUACAGCCUUCAGGAAUAUGAAAGCAAUU